This 792-nucleotide long non-coding RNA is filed under the name Haliotis rubra (blacklip abalone). Its description in RNAcentral is "uncharacterized LOC124278223, transcript variant X2". The record is from RNAcentral. Lineage: Eukaryota; Metazoa; Mollusca; Gastropoda; Lepetellida; Haliotidae.
CCUCAGUUCCCGUUACAACUUGGAGAAGAAGGACUCAAUUGCUUGGGGGAUCAACCAUGAAAGGAACGCUAUUGACCAAUAUCGUAAACUUGUGGCUAAGGUUGAAUAAACAGGCAUAUGGCUUCACGAAUCAGGAAUUCUCGGCGCUUCCCAGAUGGAAUUGUGGUAACCCCAAUUCCACAGUCUGCAACACCACCACCAGACAUCAUCGAAGUUAAGUGUCCAUUUUCUGCCAGAGACAAGCCACCGUUGGAUGCCAUUGGUCAAAAGAAUUUUUGCUUAGUCAGAACUGAUGGGAGAAUUACUUUGCCAAAUGACCAUGAAUACUACCAUCAGAUCCAAGGCCAACUGUACAUCAUGGGGAAGACAUGCUGUGACCUCCUCAUUUGGACACCCCGUGGACUUCUCAUACACAGAAUAUACCGGGAUCCAGAAUGGGCUUCAAAUAUCUCAAAGCUGAUAGAUUUCUUUUAUGACAAGUACUUUCCAACCAUAUUGUCUUAGUGUGGGUAGCUAGCCAACAGAAGACCAAGUGACUGCAGAGGAUAUGAAGAAGGAUCAAGGCUAUCCUGAAACAAGGUAUCAGCACCCCAAGGAUCGGCUCUGGAUCACCAGUAGACUGUUCACCACAACAUAAACAGCAACACGAAGCUGAGUAUUCAACUUGUUUCCAUCAUGUUACAUAUAUCUUAUAGUAAUAUGAAGCUUUUGUGUCGUUUGUAAUUGAAGUAUGUUUAAGAGUUUCAUGAAAAUAUAAUCUAAUUCUUUUUUUUUUAUCCAAAUAUUUUUUUA